RNAcentral lists this transfer RNA (77 nucleotides) under Thermus aquaticus. Its description in RNAcentral is "tRNA-Val". It matches the Rfam family "tRNA". Rfam says of the family: Transfer RNA (tRNA) molecules are approximately 80 nucleotides in length. RNAcentral also lists the same sequence under 31 other names. The record is from RNAcentral. Lineage: Bacteria; Thermotogati; Deinococcota; Deinococci; Thermales; Thermaceae.
GGGCGCGUAGCUCAGGUGGCCAGAGCACUACCUUGACACGGUAGGGGUCGGUGGUUCAAGUCCACUCGCGCCCACCA